GUCUACGGCCAUACCACCCUGAACGCGCCCGAUCUCGUCUGAUCUCGGAGAAAUGGACAAAUGGUUGGGCCGAGAAGGCUCUGCGCCCCAAGAAUGUUCAUAAAACAGUACCGAAUGCU
This is a ribosomal RNA of Panthera pardus (leopard), 119 nucleotides long. Lineage: Eukaryota; Metazoa; Chordata; Mammalia; Carnivora; Felidae. The record is from Ensembl.